CUGAUCUUCCACGAUUCUCUACUGGUACAGAGACUUUAUCUUUCACACAGACUUCAAAUAUCUUUGGGAAUUUGUGCUCCUUAUUUACUGAGUGCUUGAGAAGAAAAGACAAAGCCAGUGGAAUGGUCCGAGUGUGGCAUCCGCUGCAUUUAUAAAGAAUAAGAGCUGCAGUGGGUGUGAUUCUUGGACAGAGUGGCGCUCAUCCUUGUUCCUGCAAUGAAGGACAUGCCAGCCUCCAGGCUCUUUGACAGAUGAUUGGAACUGUGCAAAUAUUAUGGAAGAUACCCCGUGUCAAGAAGCUGACAGCACACACGUUUGGGAAGGAUUUAGUGGCUGAAGCACUUCUAGAAGGGUCUCACUGUCACCCAGGCUGGAGUGUAGUGGUGUGACUUCAG
Molecule: long non-coding RNA, 395 nt
Filed under: Homo sapiens (human)
Lineage: Eukaryota; Metazoa; Chordata; Mammalia; Primates; Hominidae
Description: PREDICTED lncRNA (TCONS_00032735)
Source: RNAcentral